UACAGAGGGGGCAAGCGUUGUUCGGAAUUACUGGGCGUAAAGGGCGCGUAGGCGGCCUUCUAAGUCAGACGUGAAAUCCCUCGGCUCAACCGAGGAACUGCGCCCAAAACUACCGUGCUCGAGGAAGAUAGAGGUGAGCGGAACUCACGGUGGAGCGGUGAAAUGCGUUGAUAUCGUGAGGAACACCCGUGGCGAAAGCAGCUCACUGGGUCUUUUCUGACGCUGAUGCACGAAAGCUAGGGGAGCAAACGGG
This 253-nucleotide ribosomal RNA is filed under the name uncultured bacterium. RNAcentral describes it as "partial 16S ribosomal RNA". It matches the Rfam family "Bacterial small subunit ribosomal RNA", at positions 524 to 776 of the family's 1533-position model. The record is from RNAcentral.